UCCUCCCUCCACCCCCUCUCUCCCAGUCCCAUUCCUCUCUCCCUAUACUUACCUAAUCACAGAUCAUUAGUUGCCAUGACAUUGUGAUUGUUUUUAUAUUAAAUGACUGCUAUCCUAGUUAUCAGAUUUGGAUGAAAUUGUUAUCAGCUGGAUGGUGAAGCCACUAUAUUAUGGACCAUGUUCUGCGUCCCAAACGCCCACCCUGUUUUCUAUAUAGUGUACUUGUUUGUCACAUGUUUUCUCAUCAGAAGAGUGGUUAGAUCCCAAAUGAAACCCUAUUCCCUAUAUAGAACACUACUGUCGACCAGAGCCCUAUUCCCUAUAUAGUGCACUAAUUUUGACCAGAGGCCUAUUCCCUAUAUAGAACACUACUAUAGACCAGAGCCCUAUUCCCUAUAUAGUACACUACUGUUGACCAGAUCCCUAUUCCCUAUUUAGCACACUAAUUUUGAUCAGAGGCCUAUGGGGAAGAGGGGGCCAAUUGGGACGCGAGACUGUAUGUGAAACUGGUAAAUUUUUAAAUGUUUCUGAGGUUCUUAUUGGUUGUCUGAUUCUCUGACCAUGUCUGUGGUUGUUAUGGUUACCGUCUGGUCCAGUUCAUACAGACUGUUUUGGUUGUUGUUUCUUUGUUCUGUUUAUCUCUCUUUUUGUGGUUUAACUGUCUGUGGUCAGGUUCUGGCCAAUCAGAUGGCUCUGUGGUCAGGUUCUGGCCAAUCAGAUGGCUCUGUGGUGGUGUUGUGACUACUGCUGUCUAACUUCUCCUGGAGGACCCCUGGUGUUUCUGUAUCAACUACAUGUCCCAAAAUGGCACCCUAUACCCUACAUAGUGCACCACAUUUGACCCGAGGGCCCACGGGGGAACAGGGGGGCCCACGGGGGAACAGGGGGGCCCACGGGGGAACAGGGGGGCCCACGGGGGAACAGGAGGCCACAGGGGAGGCAGUGUCUGUCAGCCCUCCAGGUCUAGUCUGACCUCACGUCUCCCUGGUUAAGUGGAACUGGACUCGUCACUCGCUGCUUCUCAAUGUUUUAUGGAGUGUCUGUGUGUUAUUAUAUGAUCACAUGUUAAAACUACUUAUGUGUUGACCUCUAAGUACCCUGUGAACUAUUUUGAUUGAGAAAAAAAUAAAAAUAGAUUUAUGUAAAAA
This is a long non-coding RNA of Oncorhynchus masou masou (cherry salmon), 1148 nucleotides long. RefSeq lists it as uncharacterized. NCBI's taxonomy places the organism in Eukaryota, Metazoa, Chordata, Actinopteri, Salmoniformes, Salmonidae. The transcript has 2 exons. The record is from RefSeq and is a predicted model, not a curated record.